RNAcentral lists this ribosomal RNA (495 nucleotides) under uncultured bacterium. RNAcentral describes it as "partial 16S ribosomal RNA". It matches the Rfam family "Bacterial small subunit ribosomal RNA", at positions 28 to 507 of the family's 1533-position model. The record is from RNAcentral.
GGCGAACGCUGGCGGCGUGCCUAAUACAUGCAAGUAGAACGCUGAAGGAGGAGCUUGCUUCUCUGGAUGAGUUGCGAACGGGUGAGUAACGCGUAGGUAACCUGCCUGGUAGCGGGGGAUAACUAUUGGAAACGAUAGCUAAUACCGCAUAAUAGUAGAUGUUGCAUGACAUUUGCUUAAAAGGUGCAAUUGCAUCACUACCAGAUGGACCUGCGUUGUAUUAGCUAGUUGGUGGGGUAACGGCUCACCAAGGCGACGAUACAUAGCCGACCUGAGAGGGUGAUCGGCCACACUGGGACUGAGACACGGCCCAGACUCCUACGGGAGGCAGCAGUAGGGAAUCUUCGGCAAUGGACGGAAGUCUGACCGAGCAACGCCGCGUGAGUGAAGAAGGUUGUCGGAUCGUAAAGCUCUGUUGUAAGAGAAGAACGAGUGUGAGAGUGGAAAGUUCACACUGUGACGGUAGCUUACCAGAAAGGGACGGCUAACUACGUG